Canis lupus familiaris (dog) is the source of this 522-nucleotide long non-coding RNA. RefSeq lists it as uncharacterized. The transcript has 3 exons. The record is from RefSeq and is a predicted model, not a curated record. NCBI's taxonomy places the organism in Eukaryota, Metazoa, Chordata, Mammalia, Carnivora, Canidae.
CAACAAUACUGUAAUAGCUUUGUAUGCUGACAGAUGGCAACUACACUUAUGGUUAAACUGUCCUCAAGAGACCUUGGAAUCACUACCAACCUGAAGGUGGGAAGAGGAGGAGACCGAUGUCUGAGAUCAGGAAGGGAAGAUAGCCCUUCAUCCCCUUCCGAAUCCUGCCUUUAAUCUCAUAGACCAUACGGAUCCAGAGAGAUGGAUGGACCAACAGAGAUGGACAAGACAAAUUUUCCAUUAGAGUUCCAGCAUUUCUAUGUAUUUUCUACAGCCCAAUUCUCCUUGACAAAGGAUUUUGUGCAAUAUUAUUACCUGAGAAAGCUCUUUCUUAGAUAAAUGCAAGGUGUUAUUGAGGGUAGAUACUGUUAUUAAUAUUUAUGUUGUAUUAAAUAUUAAUGUGUUUGGGUUGCAUACAAAAGAUCAUCUAUUUACUCAUCUCAAAAAGCUAUUAUGAAAAUCAAGUGAAACAAGUCAAAGAAAACACAUAACGAAUACUAUGCAUAUGUUAAUAUGACCUUG